GCGGGGUCCCUGCAGCAGCCACAACAAACGAUGGGUGACAGGCGCGUCGCGGGGGAGGCGGUGACCACGCACUCUACUUCAGCCCGCACCUCAAACUCGCGGCUCAGCGACAUUGACGAGUAUGGGUUCCAGCGGCCGCCAGACUUCGACUACGACACCUACGAGGAGUUCAUGUCCCGGUACCUCUCUGUGCUGUCCAGGCGGGCGCGGAAGUGGGCGCAUCUACUGGGGGCGAGGGAGACUGUGGGGCGGAGCAUUAAGGUCAAACGAUAUGUCCGGAAAGGCAUACCCAUGAAGCACAGGGGCAAGAUGUGGCUUGAGGUCAGCGGGGCGGGGUCAAGGCUCGCAAACCGCCCCGGAUACUACCGAUCCCUCGUCUCCGGUCCACCGUUGUCCGAGGAGCAGCAGGAAUCCAUUAGGGUAGACCUGCCCCGAACCUUUCCCGACAACAUAUACUUCCGGGACGGGGCGGGGAAAGAGGGGAAGAUUGUCAGCCUCGGAAAUGUCCUGAGCGCAUUCUGCCGCCAUAAUCCUGGUAUAGGGUACUGCCAGGGGCUGAACUACAUCGCCGGGCUCCUUCUCCUGGUGACCCAAGAAGAGGAGUCUGCGUUCUGGUUACUUGCGACCCUCACCGACCACAUUCUCCCCGAUUACUACACCCCCGGCAUGGAAGGGGUGCAGACAGAUGCUAGGGUGAUUGAGGCGCUUGUUAAAGAGCGCGCCCCCUUGGUCUGGCGGCACAUUGUACACUAUAACCUGACCUGGGAACUGCUCGUGACCAAGUGGUUCGUCUGUUUGUACGCGGAGGUGCUGCCCAUUGAGACGGUACUAAGGAUCUGGGACUGUCUGUUCUAUGAGGGCAACAAGGUUUUGAUGAGGGUGGCGAUCGCUUUAGUGCUCAACAACGAAGCCAAAAUCCUCGCCAGCCAGGAGUUCGUGGACAUCGUGGAGUGCUUCAAGGCGGUGACCCAGGACGCUAAUGCUGUCGAUUGUCACACGUUUAUGGAGACUGCCUUCAAGAUCUCCGGGUCCUUCCCCCGCACCCGCCUGGCUAAGCUACGUCAAGAGUGCAUGGACCAAGUGGUGGCAGAGAGGAACGCAAGGAAGAAAUGAGAGAGAGAGAGAGAGAGAGAGAGAGAGAGAGAGAGAGAGAGAGAGAAUAUUAAUAAUCUUUUAAUAAGCAAAAUAUGGAUUAAAUUUGAUGAGGAAAUGAGAGAAGAAGAAGAAGAAAAGAAGAAAGGAGGGUUAGGAAAGAGAUGAGAGAGAGAGAGAGAGAGAGAGAGAGAGAGAGAGAGAGAGAGAGAGAGAGAACUUAGUCGAAUUCCAUAGUGAGAUAUUGAAGACUUUAUGAGAACUUAGCAACUUUAGAGGGAGAGAGAGAGAUUAGAAUGCUUAAGAGAAGUAGAGCGAGAGAGAGAGAGGAAUUAGAGAGAGAGAAUAGACACCUGAUAGAAUAAAGAGGAGGAGGAGGAGGAGUUAGAGGAAGAAGAGUUAGAAGAGGAGGAGGAGGAGGAGUUAGAGGAAGAGGAGGAAGAGGAAGAGGAGGAAGGAACACACACACACACACACACACACACACACACACACACACACAUGAUUUCACUGCCUGACCUACAUAUAAUAAUAAUAAUAAUAAUAAUAAUAAUAAUAAUAAUAAUAAUAAUAAUAAUAAUAAAAAUGGUUGUUGAAAAUCCUUAGUAAUCUAGUCUUUAUUUUAUUUAUUUAUUAUUAUUAUUAUUAUUAUUUUGUGUGUGUGUGUGUGUGUGUUUGUGUGUGCGCGUCAAUUCUCAGGUGAUCUUAAGGUACACAUCCCUCCCUUAAGCCAGCUAUAAAGGUCUACAUGUGUGCGUAUUCCAACGUACACAUAGAUUUACAUAUGUGCGUGCAUCUGUGUGUGUGUAGAUGCAGUAUUUGUGUGCGCGUAAUCUACUGGUUAUGUGCGUUUUUAAGUCCAUGUACGUCUGUGGGGAUACUUCAGCUCAUGUACGCAUUCCAAAGCUUGUGUACGCAUAAUUGAAACUUGUGUACGUAUAAGGAUAUCCGUGUACGCAUAAUGGAGUCCGUGUACGCGCCGUGAAACUUGUGUACGCAUAUUGAAACUCGCGCACAUGUAAGGAUUUUUUUCAUGUACGCAUAAUGCAGUCUGUGUACGCGCAGUAAAGCUUGUGUACGCAUAACUGAAAAUCGCGUACAUGUGAUGAAUUUUCUCAUGUACGCACCGUGAAGCUUGUGUACGCAUAUCUGAAAAUCGCGUACAUGUGAGGAAUUUUCUCGUGUACGCACAGUAAAGCUUGUGUACGCAAAACUAUAACGCGUGCAUGUAAGUUUUUUUUCAUGUACGCAUAAUGAGGUCCGUGUACGCGCCGUCAAGCUCAUGUACGCAUAAUUGAAACUCGUGUACAUGUGAGGAUUUUUUUUUUCGUGUACGCAUAAUAAGGUCUGUGUACGCGCCGUCAAGCUCAUGUGCGCAUAUUGCAAGCUGUGUACGCAUGAUUCUCCUUGUUGACGUGUGGCCGAGAAUUGAAAUUUUAGCUAAUAUAAAAAAUGUGCAUGUAAGAUUUUUUUCAUGUACGCAUAAUGAGGUCCGUGUACGCGCCGUCAAGCUCAUGUGCGCAUAUUGCAAGCUGUGUACGCAUGAUUCUCCUUGUUGACGUGUGGCCGAGAAUUGAAAUUUUAGGUAAUAUAUAAAAUGUACAUGUAAGUUUUUUUUCAUGUACGCAUAAUGAGGUCCGUGUACGCGCCGUCAAGCUCAUGUGCGCAUAUUGCAAGCUGUGUACGCAUGAUUCUCCUUGUUGACGUGUGGCUGAGAAUUGAAAUUUUAGGUUAUAUAAAUUUUUUUGUAUAUAAUUAAGCAAGCAAGUUAAUUUCACUGUUAUUGAGGGAGGCAGUGACUGGCAACUUUUAUUUCUUAAGACUUUGCUUUGCCAGAGAUUAAACUAUGAGUGUGUGUGUGUAUUAGAGUGUGUGUGUAUAAGAGUGUGUGUGUGUAUGUGUGUGUGUGUGUGUUUUGUGGUUACGAGAGUUGCAUCAUUUCAGUUCUUGUGGGAAAUUACAAUGUCGGGUUUUAAUGAGCUUUGAAAUAUGUGACUAUGUGCGUGUGUGUGUGUGUGUGUGUGUGUUUGAUGAUCAUUGAAAUACGUGACUAUGUGUGUGUGUGUGUGUGUGUGUGUGUGUGUGUGUGUGUGUGUGUGUGUGUGUGAGGUUAAGACACAAGUUAUAAACAGCUGUGAUGGCGGGUGACUCCUGAUUCUUAAGACUUGGUUUACCAGUGAUUUCCAGACCUGUAUUGUAUUUCGUCAACAGUGAUUUUAAUUCUAGGGUGACCGAGCAUAGCAGGUUUACGCUACGAUGAUAUUUUUUAAGCUUACGUUAGAAUGAUCUUAUUUGUUAACUGUGGGAAGCUGUGAUUUGUAUAAGGAUUCUAUUGUGUAUGGUAACUUUUGUGGUGGUUUUAAGUGAUGUUUGUAUUUAUUAGAGAUUAAGGAUUCUAUUGUAUAUGGUAACGUUUGUGAUUUUAAGUGAUGUUUAAAUUUGUGGGCAUGUGAUGUUUGUAUUUAUUAGAGGUUAGCCCGGUGGUACCAGCGGGGACCAUGUUUCUUAAUGGUCCCUCCAAGCGAGAAAAAUGAGAAAAAAUCACCCCUCACACAAACCAUUUCAUAAUAUAUAUCAAAAUCUGAAAAUCGCGUACAUGUGAGUAAUUUUCUCAUGUACGCACAGUGAAGCUUGUGUACGCAUAUCUGAAAAUCGCGUACAUGUGAGUAAUUUUCUCAUGUACGCGCAGUGAAGCUUGUGUACGCAUAUCUGAAAAUCGCGUACAUGUGAGGAAUUUUCUCAUGUACACACCGUAAAGCUUGUGUACGCAAAACUAUAACGCGUACAUGUAAUUUUUUUUUCAUGUACGCAUAAUGAGGUCCGUGUACGCGCCGUCAAGCUCAUGUGCGCAUAAUUGAAACUCGCAUUCACGUGAGGAUUUUUUUUUCGUGUACGCAUAAUGAGGCCCAUGUACGCGCCGUCAAGCUCAUGUGCGCAACUUAUACAAAGGCUUGGGAGUCAAAAUGUUUAAGGAUACAGCCCAAGGACACUAAACAGGGACUUUGAGCGGUGGAUUGAUGUCUUUGGUAAUAGGUCUCAAUGCAGAAUCAUGGGACAUCGCUGGAGGGGACAUCGCUGGAGGGGACAUCGCUGGAGGGGACAUCGCUGGAGGGGACAUCGCUGGAGGGACCUUGUGUCAAACCAGCAACUACUCCACGAGACUGACUCCACAUGUAAUACCAGCAUAGUCCGGCAUAGUCCGUCAACGCCACCUCCAGCUAUACGGGCACAUGGCACCAUACCCUAGGCUGACCCUGCUCAUUGGGGGCCGCUGUGCGAUGACCCUGAGUAGAGUGUGCCAAGGGUACCCCCACGGAGUUCAUGGUUUGAGCAAGGUGUUAGAUCCUGCCGGGAGGUGCUCAGUUUGGGAAGUGGGCCUGUAUGGAGACUCGCCGGUUUAGGGUGGGUGAAGCAACGCACCCCCCAGCGUAUGGCCCCCGUGAUUUGAUUGGUUUUAGCGAUGAAUGUGGGAAACUGUGACGUUAAUUGGUGGUUUUUUUUCUUUAGGUUAAUUUUUAUGGUGAUUUAAAUGACUGUCCGGUGAUUUAGAGUUUGUAUUUAUUGAAGAUUAAGUAGGUGUGUGUGUGUGUGUGUGUGUGUGUGUGUGUGUGUGUGUGUGUGUUGACCAAGCAAGCACUGCCUACCAUCUGUACAUGCAAAGUUUUCAUGUGAUAAAAAAAAAAAAGUUCCAGAGAUUGUAGCUGUGUUAGUACGUGUGUGUGUGUGUGUGUGUGUGUGUGUGUGAUCAUUGCAUAUCUUAUUGUAAGUUAAAAUCUGUCUGGUCUCAUCAUAUUCAAAUUAUCAUUAUUAUUAUUAUUAUUAUUAUUAUUACUGUUCAAAUAUCCCUCGAGCUGGGGUGUCAAACUCAUUCGCUAAGGCGGGCCGAAUUUGAUAUUAAGGUACAAUGCGCAGGUCAAAGGUAGGAAGCCAAAAUAAACACUUCAAAUUUACCUCUAAAUUGAACAAUAUGACAAAGAUGUUCAUCCUUCAUGGAACGCAUUGCUUGAUUCAGAACUUUUCAGGCAGGAUUUUUUGGGUGUCAAUAUCACCAUGAAGUUCCAGUGUGCUGUGAGGCGAAUGUAUCUCUGCAAAAUAGCCGCUCAAUCAUCAAACGCGGUCUCCGAAGUAUUGCCCCAAGUUAAAGGUCCAACGUAUUGCCCCAAGUUAAAGGUCCAACAUAUUGCCCCAAGUUAAAGGUCCAACGUAUUGCCCCAAGUUAAAGUUUCACCCGCAAGGCACGGAUGCAAUCAUCGAACGCGGUCUCCAACUUGCUGCGCCCUUGUAUCUUUGGGUUCAGGUGAUUCAAGUCCUCUGUGAUGUCCACCAUGAAAGCCAGACCUUGGACCAACCCAUUAUCUCCAAGUUCAUGCAAAUAAAAUGAAAUAUGGAUGGUAUCGAGGGUCAGGCGUCGAGGCUUUCCCAGCUGUAUUUCUCUCGCUAUAAAUCCAAAUAAGUCACAAAUAAAAUAAAAUAUGGAUGGUAUCGAGGGUCAGGCGUCGAGGUUUUCCCAGCUGUAUUUCUCUCGCUAUAAAUCCAAAUAAGUCGCAAAUAAAAUAAAAUAUGGAUGGUAUUGAGGGUCAGGCGUCGAGGUUUUCCCAGCUGUAUUUCUCUCGCUAUAAAUCCAAAUAAGUCGCAAAUAAAAUACAUCAAAAUAAACUCAAUAAACACAGGAGACGAGACCACGAGGGGCGACUUUUCCGUUCGUAAUAAAGAAAAACGAGAGAAAAAACACAGGAAAAUAUAGAUGGUCCGACAUUAGGCGUUGAAGGAUUUGCCGUCUAUCCCUUCCGCUAUCUUAGAAGUGGAAGAAAGUGAAGAUAAUUGCAGUAGAAGGGAAGGAAAGUUAAGAAAUAGGAAAAGAAAUGGAUUAUAUGAUGUUUGCUGGCGAAGUUUUAUUCUUUUAUAGAUCUUCCGAUGUCUGUUCAAUCGUCGUACUUAUGGAAAUCGAGUCACUUAUACUUAAAGAUUCUGUCACAAACUUACACACACCCACACACACUUAUGAGAGCUUAAACAUCUAUUCUUUUUUAUCUUGAAUUGCUGUACUUAUGGAAAUCAAGUCACUUAUACUUAAAGAUUCUGUCACAAACUUACACACACACACAUACACUUAUGAGAGCUUAAACAUCUAUUCUUUUUUAUCUUGAAUUGCUGUACUUAUGGAAAUCAAGUCACUUAUACUUAAAGAUUCUGUCACAGACUUACACACAAGCACACACACUUAUACACACUUACGAGAGUUUAAAUGUCCAUUCUUUUCUAUCUUAAAUCGCUGUACUUAUGGAAAUCAAGUCACUUAUACUUAAAGAUUCUGUCACAAACUUACACACAAGCACACACACUUAUACACACUUAUGAGAGUUUAAACGUCUAUUUUCUAUCUUAAAUCGCUGUACUUAUAGACUCAAUCCCAUAUGUUUCUUUAACCCUUUCACUGCUAGGCGCUCGCAAGGAGACUAUCCCCUCAGGCGCGCUCGGGAACCCCAGCGAGGGAAGGGGAUCUCUCUUAACCACUGUAUCUCACAAACCAUUCAUCACAGCUACAAAACAAAACCACCAUUGGAAAGAGGAGGUCAAGAUCUAUACGAUUCGGUAUUGUAAGCUUCUCCUGCGAACAUACAGGCACGUUCAGGGGGUAUUCCCUGUGAAGAUGUACAUUUCUACGUGCGCGAUGGUCAGCCGUAAGGAAACUACUGUAGAUCUCUUGAUGAUGGGGUGCUGGCAAGGCGGCAUUGACGGCUGAAAAAUGUACAAGUAUUUGGUCAAAGAAUCCGUCAUGUGCUCGGUGAAGCUAUGGAAAAAUGUCGCGAUAUUGAGCAAGAACAUCUACCAGUUGCUUGUCCGUAGAUUUGCCAUGCUGGGUUGACGUGAUUUUCCACCAAGUUUAGUGAACACACUCAAUUGGCAAUCCUGCGUUGUGAGAAUUAGUGUUGGAACGCACUCACACGUGGGAGAUUUGAGUGCGGGUGGAGGUCACAGCGAGCGUUUAGCAGUGAAAGGGUUAAAGAGAUUAGUUCCUAUUUUCCAGCUCUCCCUUCCUAUAACACAAGCUCUCCCUUCCUAUAACACAAGCUCUCCCUUCCUAUAUCACAAGCUCUCCCUUCCUAUAACACAAGCUCUCCCUUCCUUGGCCAUUCCCUUGAGGUCAGUUCCAACACAAUCACAAGCUCUCCCUUCCUAUAUCACAAGCUCUCCCUUCCUAUAACACAAGCUCUCCCUUCCUCGGCCAUUCCCUUGAGGUCAGUUCCAACACAAUCACAAGCUCUCCCUUCCUAUAACACAAGCUCUCCCUUCCUCGGCCAUUCCCUUGAGGUCAGUUCCAACACAAUCACAAGCUCUCCCUUCCUAUAACACAAGCUCUCCCUUCCUAUAACACAAGCUCUCCCUUCCUAUAACACAAGCUCUCCCUUCCUUGGCCAUUCCCUUGAGGUCAGUUCCAACACCAUCACAAGCUCUCCCUUCCUAUAACACAAGCUCUCCCUUCCUUGGCCAUUCCCUUGAGGUCAGUUCCAACACUCACAAGCUCUCCCUUCCUAUAACACAAGCUCUCCCUUCCUAUAACACAAGCUCUCCCUUCCUUGGCCAUUCCCUUGAGGUCAGUUCCAACACUCACAAGCUCUCCCUUCCUCGGCCAUUCCCUUGAGGUCAGUUCCAACAGUCUACAUACAUACAUACAUACACACAUACAUACAUACACACAUACAUACAUACAUACAUACCUAGUGCUGUAUACAUUCCUGAGUUGUGAUGAGUGUACCAAGGUGUAUAAUUGUACCUGUUAAUUACACUAUAAAUGAUUA
Molecule: RNA transcript, 7892 nt
Organism: Eriocheir sinensis (Chinese mitten crab)
Lineage: Eukaryota; Metazoa; Arthropoda; Malacostraca; Decapoda; Varunidae
Gene name: growth hormone-regulated TBC protein 1-A-like
Exons: 8
Source: RefSeq, a predicted model, not a curated record